Molecule: ribosomal RNA, 301 nt
Filed under: uncultured bacterium
Lineage: Bacteria
Description: partial 16S ribosomal RNA
Rfam family: Bacterial small subunit ribosomal RNA
Source: RNAcentral
CAGUCGCCGCGGGAAUACGUAGGGUGCAAGCGUUAAUCGGAAUUACUGGGCGUAAAGCGUGCGCAGGCGGUUAUAUAAGUCAGAUGUGAAAUCCCCGGGCUCAACCUGGGAACUGCAUUUGAGACUGUAUGGCUAGAGUGUGUCAGAGGGGGGUAGAAUUCCAUGUGUAGCAGUGAAAUGCGUAGAUAUGUGGAGGAAUACCGAUGGCGAAGGCAGCCCCCUGGGAUAACACUGACGCUCAUGCACGAAAGCGUGGGGAGCAAACAGGAUUAGAUACCCCCGUAGUCCCUGUCUCUUAUAC